RNA transcript from Myzus persicae (green peach aphid), 1520 nucleotides. It is a transcript of the gene named gamma-soluble NSF attachment protein, with no coding region annotated. The transcript has 10 exons. NCBI's taxonomy places the organism in Eukaryota, Metazoa, Arthropoda, Insecta, Hemiptera, Aphididae. The record is from RefSeq and is a predicted model, not a curated record.
AUAGACGAUAGUUCGUAAUCAUUCUAACUCUAUGUCGAUCAUCGUUAGUAAAUAUUGAAUAGUAAAUACUAAAUAUUAAAUUCUUAAUAAAUUGUAAUAAGCAUAUUAUUAUAUUUUAUUAAAAUUGUUUUCUACUUGCACAAGUCACGGUAGCAGUAUAGUAGGGAUUUCAUACGUUUGUUUGUGAUUUGAAGUAUAGUGGAUCAUGUCCAAAGACAAAAUCCAAGAGGGAAGGGAGUGUAUGGACAAAGCUGCGAAAUAUCUGAAGACAUCUUUGUUGAAAUGGGUUCCCGAUUACGACAGUGCGGCCGAUGAAUACUCAAAAGCAGCUACUUGUUUCAGAGUUGGAAAAUCAUAUAAGGAAAGCAAGGAAUGUCUUAUGAAGGCAUCAGAAAAUUAUUUACAAAAUGGAUCACUUUUUCAUGCUGCUAAGUGUAUGGAUCAGGCUAUUAUUAUGUCUAAGGAGAUGGGUGACACAAGUGACGUGUUUAAAUUGGCUAUGAAAGCCAGUCACUAUUACCAGCAACAUGGAUCCUCUGGAAGCGCAUCAUUAUUGUUGAACAAAGUUGCAGACAUGUUACAACAAUCAGAUCCAGAAUCAGCCAUAAAGCUCUUAAAAGAAGCUUCAAACAUUUCUGGGAUUGAAGAUUCGACUGGACAAGCAAUGGAAUACACACACAAAGUAGCACGACUGUUGGUAAAAUUGAAAAGGUAUGAAGAAGCUGAAAAUGAAAUAAAACGUCAAUUUGAUCUUAUUGCGGAAGGAGGUCCUACCUCCAACAUGGGCAGAGUAACUGUUGAACUUUUUUUACUACAAUUGGAUAAAGAUGAUUAUGUGGCUGCUAAAAAAGUGUUGCAUGAAUAUGGAAUGCAAUAUUGUGAACAAGCAGAGAUUUAUAUGCUUGACAGCAUUGUAAACGCAUACUCCGAUCAUGACUGUGCUCAAAUUCGGAAAAUGUUAAACAGUCCUUUUAUUAAGCACAUGGAUGUUGAGUUUGCAAUACUCGCUAAGAGUUUGGCCGAAAAAUGGAUAGUGGAACCUAAAGAGCAAGUUACCAAUACUGAGAAUAAAGAGACAGAUGAGUCACCAACAGACUUUGGAGGAACGCUUUGUUGAAGCAGAAAUUACAUUUUUAUAUUCUACCCUAUUUAUUCAAAUUAUACUUGUUUCUUAGGUUGAAACAAUUAAGGCUUAUAAAAAAAUUAUUAGUCCUAUAAAUCUCAGGUAUAUGCUUUUGAGGUUGAAUUGUUAGUUGUUAUAUAAUAAUUGUUAUUUUUUAUUGUGCAUUUUUGUAAUGUAGUUAAUUACUAGAAUUUAAAAUUUAUUUACUAUAAUCUAUGAAACCAUUUAAAUUAAUGUUUAUAACACAUAGUAUAUCACUAUUAUAUUUAUAUAGUAUUUAUCACAGUUUUGUAACAUUCCAAAUUAAUUACAUAGUAUAAUGUAUAUUUAAAUUUCUUUUUACAUACCUAACUUUGUUCAGUAUAAAUCCAAUAAUGUUAUUUUAGUUUGUUUUUUA